ACGUAGGGUGCAAGCGUUAAUCGGAAUCACUGGGCGUAAAGCGCGCGCAGGCGGCUAUGCAAGACAGAUGUGAAAUCCCCGGGCUCAACCCGGGAACUGCAUUUGAAACUGCAUGACUAGAGUGCGGGAGAGGGAGAUGGAAUUCCGCGUGUAGCAGUGAAAUGCGUAGAUAUGCGGAGGAACACCGAUGGCGAAGGCGAUCUCCUGGACCUGCACUGACGCUCAUACACGAGAGCGUGGGGAGCAAACAG
This 251-nucleotide ribosomal RNA is filed under the name uncultured prokaryote. Its description in RNAcentral is "partial 16S rRNA". It matches the Rfam family "Bacterial small subunit ribosomal RNA", at positions 525 to 775 of the family's 1533-position model. The record is from RNAcentral.